GCUUAUGAACUGUUUCGAAACUGUGAAAGUGCACAAAUGAGGAAGAAUGAAAUAAAGUCACUGGUCCUUAUUUCUUCCCAAUAAUCUACUGAAAAGUCUCGGUACAUAACUAAGCGCCAUUUUACUGAGACUAUAUUUCAUUCUAUCUCACUUUGUUUCAUUUAAUUUCAUCCCAAUUGAUUAAAGUCUCAAAUUAAACAACGUCGUCUCAUUUUGCUUCAUAUUUCUGGUACAAUGGAGAAAUUAGAAGAUUUGGCUUAAAGGUCUCAUUACCAGGUCACAUAAUCUCAAUCCAAAAAAAAACUCACUCCAAGAGCCAGCGUUGCCAACUCGAAAUUCGUCAAGGUGGGAGAUAGGGUUCUACAAGUUGGUAGUUUCCAACAAACACUACUAUGAAAAGUUGGUAGAUCUACCGAAAAGUUGGUAGAGUUGGCAACGCUGCCAAGAGCACUGGGUUUCUUUGUUUUGUUAUUCCGUUAUUCAUAUGGAGGAUAGAGGUAAGGAGACCCGUCUCUGUGUGUGAAAAAGUGUCUGUUAAAAUCUCCUAAAUAAGGGUGGCGCUACAGUAGCAACCAGGUAAAUUGUUGAAAAGGCCCUGAAAGCAACGAAUAAAUAAUUAUUUAAACGUAGCCUGAAAGUUAUUAGACUGAUAGAGAAAUAAAAAAGGACGAAAGAACUUCCGUCUCGUUAUGGCGCACUUUUCAAAAUAAGCAUAAAAUGAAAACCGAAGUUUUAUAAUUAUAUUUUGCUAGAAAAUGAGCUCUCCUUCCUCCUCCUUCAGUCGAUCACUCAUUGCUGAGCAUCAUGAUGCGCCCGCCUGUGUGCUUUUUUUGUAAUUUGUAACUACUUUAGUCGGUCAGUGGCACAGUGAAGUGCUUGGCUCAGUCUCAUGUCCAGACACUCGGAAAAUAAAGCACGCAUCACAAUAUUAAUAAUUUUUUUCUUAAUAUAAUAUAAUAAAAUAUAUUUCAAUAAU
Bombyx mori (domestic silkworm) is the source of this 976-nucleotide long non-coding RNA. RefSeq lists it as uncharacterized. Lineage: Eukaryota; Metazoa; Arthropoda; Insecta; Lepidoptera; Bombycidae. The record is from RefSeq and is a predicted model, not a curated record. The transcript has 2 exons.